This 504-nucleotide ribosomal RNA is filed under the name uncultured bacterium. RNAcentral's name for it is "partial 16S ribosomal RNA". It matches the Rfam family "Bacterial small subunit ribosomal RNA", at positions 30 to 523 of the family's 1533-position model. The record is from RNAcentral.
AUUGAACGCUGGCGGCAGGCCUAACACAUGCAAGUCGAACGGUAGCACAGAGAGCUUGCUCUCGGGUGACGAGUGGCGGACGGGUGAGUAAUGUCUGGGAAACUGCCCGAUGGAGGGGGAUAACUACUGGAAACGGUAGCUAAUACCGCAUAACGUCGCAAGACCAAAGUGGGGGACCUUCGGGCCUCACACCAUCGGAUGUGCCCAGAUGGGAUUAGCUAGUAGGUGGGGUAAUGGCUCACCUAGGCGACGAUCCCUAGCUGGUCUGAGAGGAUGACCAGUCACACUGGAACUGAGACACGGUCCAGACUCCUACGGGAGGCAGCAGUGGGGAAUAUUGCACAAUGGGCGCAAGCCUGAUGCAGCCAUGCCGCGUGUAUGAAGAAGGCCUUCGGGUUGUAAAGUACUUUCAGCGGGGAGGAAGGCGGUGAAGUUAAUAACUUCACCGAUUGACGUUACCCGCAGAAGAAGCACCGGCUAACUCCGUGCCAGCAGCCGCAGUAA